CCAGAGAACUUUCCAGAGAUGGAUUGGUGCCUUCGGGAACUCUGAGACAGGUGCUGCAUGGCUGUCGUCAGCUCGUGUUGUGAAAUGUUGGGUUAAGUCCCGCAACGAGCGCAACCCUUUAUCCUUUGUUGCCAGCGGUUAGGCCGGGAACUCAAAGGAGACUGCCAGUGAUAAACUGGAGGAAGGUGGGGAUGACGUCAAGUCAUCAUGGCCCUUACGAGUAGGGCUACACACGUGCUACAAUGGCGCAUACAAAGAGAAGCGACCUCGCGAGAGCAAGCGGACCUCAUAAAGUGCGUCGUAGUCCGGAUUGGAGUCUGCAACUCGACUCCAUGAAGUCGGAAUCGCUAGUAAUCGUGGAUCAGAAUGCCACGGUGAAUACGUUCCCGGGCCUUGUACACACCGCCCGUCACACCAUGGGAGUGGGUUGCAAAAGAAGUAGGUAGCUUAACCUUCGGGAGGGCGCUUACCACUUUGUGAUUCAUGACUGGGGUGAAGUCGUAACAAGGUAAGCGUAGUGCU
Molecule: ribosomal RNA, 522 nt
Filed under: uncultured bacterium
Lineage: Bacteria
Description: bacterial SSU rRNA
Rfam family: Bacterial small subunit ribosomal RNA
Source: RNAcentral